This is a long non-coding RNA of Dioscorea cayenensis subsp. rotundata (Guinea yam), 1085 nucleotides long. RefSeq lists it as uncharacterized. The transcript is spliced from 3 exons. The record is from RefSeq and is a predicted model, not a curated record. NCBI's taxonomy places the organism in Eukaryota, Viridiplantae, Streptophyta, Magnoliopsida, Dioscoreales, Dioscoreaceae.
AUCCCAUCCCAUCCAUCUUCAUCGCCAUCUCCAUCUCCAUCUCUUCUUCCUCUUUUUUCCUUUCCUUUUUUUCCCUCUUUUUUCAGCUCAUUAAUUCGGUUUUUUCAAUCUCAAUGCUGUAAUCUCCAUUCUAUACUUCGUCAGCUUUCUUUUGGAUGUCUAAAUCUAGGUUUUCGAUGAUAAUUUCGCAUGAAUUCUUGCUAUUUAUGGUGUUUUUUCAUCUUUUGUUUUGCUUUGAUUGUUAGGGUUUGAGAAUUUUGAAACGGAAGGAGGACAAGAUUUUGGGCAUGUUUUUCCACGGCUUUCUUGAACUGUGGACUCUCAAGGGUUUGCUUUUUUUUUUUAAUCUUUUGAUUUGAAGGUGAACUUGUUUUUCAGUGCAAAGUUCAAGAAAGACGUGGGAAAUCAUGGCAGAUCUUUCAGCUGAUAAUUACAAGAAAAAAAGUCUUGAUUUUUUGUUUGAAUUUUUCUCUAACAUUGUUUGAUUUCUAGUUUCUUUUCAGUUUGGAUCUGGGGAGGUAGCUGGUGUACUUGUCUUCAAGGCUUGAGGGAUUUGGGGAAUGUGAAGUACUUGACUCAUGGUAUUGUUGAACCUGAGUUGUGAUAAUUAAAUUCUGUCAUUAUUGAGUUGGAUUUGAGAAUGUGUGGUACUAGAUAGAUAAGUGUAGUCUUUUUCCUUCUCUUUUGUUUCUCUUGUUUGCAGGUUUUAUUAGAAGUAUAUGACACUGUGUCUGUUUUUUUUUUAAAUAAUAAUUUCUGUCAAUAGAUAGAAUUCUAUGAGAAUUAAGGGAUUAGUGUUGGUUUUAGAAAACAAAAUACAUAUAAAAAAAAAAGAAAGAAAAAAGGAAACUAGUUUUAAAGUUUGGAUGGUGUGAGUGUAUGGUGAAUAGGGAUUGGUGGAAUGGAGUAUUUGUUUCUUUUCCGAGGUGGAAAGGGACCAGCUUUUGCUUCAUCUGAGGAGCUGCAGUGCAGCAGCCAGAGGAGAUUUCAGAAAGUGAAACGUACGAAAGAAUGUGAAGUAGUGUGUGUGUGUGUGUGUGUGUGUGUGUGUAUGUGUUUGCGUGAGGUUGUGAGAGAAAAAAAAA